This 4628-nucleotide long non-coding RNA is filed under the name Brassica napus (rape). Its description in RNAcentral is "long non-coding RNA (BNAP_LNC010657)". The record is from RNAcentral. Lineage: Eukaryota; Viridiplantae; Streptophyta; Magnoliopsida; Brassicales; Brassicaceae.
UCAGGGUGUUCUCUCCGCAUUCCAAUGCUUCUCCACCUCAUCCUCCAAUGCCUUCCUCUCCAUCCCAAAGAGAUGAGAGUGAAACAAUCACAAACCUUCCUAUCUCUCAUCAAAAUACUUUAGGGGAGGGAUCUCUUCAUUCAAACAUGCAGCCACCAACUUCUUCUCAACCCCGCCAGGUUUCUCCUUCAAACAGCAGGUCUCCUAAUCAGCAUACCUCUAGUGAUCAAGAUAGAGCUGGACCAUCAGAGCUCCAAUCAUUUUCAGAAUCUCUAAAGUCUCGACUAAAUGCUGUCUCAAUGAGGUAUCCCAUCUCUAUCCAGCUGCCUUUGGUCUGUAUAUGUUUUUGUAACAAUCCGAAGUGGUUCCUUAUGAACAAUGUAGAUACAAAGAAUCAAUAUCAAAGAACACAAGGAGCUGGAAAGAUAGAUUCUUUUCACGCAGCACUUCCAUUGCAGAUCUUGGCUCUGAGGUUAAAAGAGAGGUCAGUGCCGGAAUAGCCACUGUGUCCCGCAUGAUGGAACGUUUAGAAACGAGAGAAGACAGUACUAGACCAGGGACUGAACCUGUAUCAGAAAACAACACUAAUGCUGAAUCAAACAAUGAGCAUAGUAGAAGAUCAGAAGCGAGUGAUGAACAUUCUUUGAGUGAAAGAGGUGUUAAAGGAACAUGUGCGGCUGCAUCUGGUUCUAGCUAAUAAAACUAGUGCCAGCAUCUUGUUGGCAAUGGUAUACUGAUUCAGCUUUGGCUUAUCAUGUGGUUGAUCCUCAACAACUAAGAUCUUGUAUUGUUUGUUGUUUCUUUUUCUUUCUUGUCAGAGACGAGAAGAUGUUUUUAUUGUGAAGUUCUGCUAUAUAUAUUGAUAUACUGAGUUGGAAGUUCAGAAUCAGAGGUGUGGGAGCAUUAGGAAGAGAUUUUUCCUAAAAGAAUAAUAAAAAGAUUAUGUGUUGUGUUAUGUCAUAAAAAAAAAACACGCCCGUAUGUUGUUAUGAUAGUUACUUAUGUAUCUUCAGAAGCUUUAGCCGAUGCCCCAAUUUAUUGUAUCUAAUGUUGCUUUUGAUUAGUAGUGCAUUACUUAGAAAGAGAGUUUCAAUCAAAAUCAGAGAACAUAGCUGGAUUUACAAACGAAAUGAGCUUUUAGUUUACAUUCUGUUAAGCACUCAUUUUGAAGGUUUUGUCUUCUUGUACUAGUUUUUUUUUUUGUUUUUGUUGCAAUUCAGUUAAAAGAGCAGAGCCUUGUGCGUUCGAUACAAAACUAGAAUCCGCCCUAAAACACCAGUGACAGCAUAAACUUCAUCUGUCAAUCCAGGAAGAAAAACAAAACAAAGCGAAAAUGGCUUUAUAUCCAAACAUGAAAACAUUCCAAGAAGAGACGUUUCUUGAUAAAAUUGCCUGAAAACCGAAAGUAUGAUGAGUAAGAUGUCGCCUGAAGAGCGUGAGAGGAUGUUUAACAUGGCAUCGUCUUUGAAAGCAAAUGCUCCAGUUUCAACAUCAUACAGAGAUGCCGAAACAGCUGAGCGACAGGAAGCGAGUGGUGAGUCUAGUUCUUCGGUAAGAGGUUUUGAACCAAGCAUGCCUUCUGCUCCGCCUGUUGACUUGCAGGAGCAGAUGAGAAACCAAAUGAAAGAUCCAGCGAUGCGACAGGUUUUAUGUUAUACAUUUUUUUUUUACAUAUUCAGGACUCAUAAAAUGUGAUUGUAGAUGUUAAUAUAUUGUAUUUUCUCUGUUUUUUUUUUGUAGAUGUUCAUGUCUAUGAUUAAAAACAUGAACCCGGAGAUGAUGGCUAGCAUGAGCGAACAGUUCGGAAUGAAGCUGUCUCGAGAAGAUGCGGCAAAAGCUCAAGAAGCCAUGGCUUCUCUUUCUCCUGAAGCUUUGGAGAAAAUGGUACACACUCGGUUUAUGAAAAUAUUGCAGAACUGACUGUAUUGGUUAUUUCAUUUGUAACUGUUGUGUGCAGAUGCGAUGGGCGGACCGGGCGCAAACCGGGAUAGAGAAAGCGAAGAGAGCAAAGAAGUGGUUGCUAGGCAAAGGCGGGUUGAUCUUUGCAAUAUGUAUGCUCGUUUUAGCAAUGAUCCUUCAUCGUCUAGGCUAUAUUGGAAGGUAAAGAAAACGAGGAAGGUCUCUUAAGACUUAUUAUGCCAGAGAACAGUCUUUGGUUUGGGCUCGUGGUUUUGUAAAACUGUAACAUCGACUCACUCACCGACAGUUUUUCUUCUUCUUCUUCUUUCUCUAGGCUUUUUAACCUCUUUUGUCUAGUCUUCCUUCCACCUUCUGUAGUGUUUUAAAAGCUUUUAAUGUUAUUUUUUCUUUUAGAUAUUCGUUAUAUUUUAUAAAGCAUACUAUUAUUCUCCUCGUCGUACCUUUCUCGAGUAAGAGAGUAAAAUUUUUCGAGAUUCACAAAAUCAGCACUAGUGCUGCUUGUUUAAGUAUCAUCCUGGAAAGACGAGAACCAGAAACAGCAUUUCAUAAGAGAAGAAGAAUAAAAUAUCAACUAGCAAGCAAAAUCAACACUAAUGCUACUUGCAUUUUAGAAGUUUUUUUAGAAGUUUUUAAUACACUUUUGUCUAGAUAUCUUUCCAUCUUUGUUUAUUAUUGUUAAUAUUUAGAGAGAAAACAAUAUUUCUUUUCAGAUAUUUGUUACUUUUUGUAUAAACAUAAUGAUUCUUUGCUGGGACCUUCUCGACCAAGAGUGAAAAACAAAAUGUCCAGAUGAAGUGUAAACUAAAAUUACAUUUCAAAAAUAGAGGACAGAAAAAAAUCUAAGAAGGAAAAAGUACAAACACGUGUCAUAAUCUGGGACCCACUUGUUGUCUUUUCGUUUAAUGGCUUGAAUUAAAUUUACACAGAAAAAUAAAAAAGAAGGUGUCGAGAGUCAAAAGAGAACGCGCAAAGAGAAGAGAAGAGAAGAGAAGAAACGAAAGAGUCUUUUAUCUUUCCAUAUAUCUAUCUCCCUCUCCUUUAUUUCUUCUCAUCCAUUAUCAUCGGGGUGAAUCUAGGGUUUUGUUUUCUCUCGCGACACCGUGUUCCUCCUUUAUAAUCUCUCUCUCUCUCUCUCUCUUUCAUCUCCUUAGCUCAUCAUCACGACUUCAAUGGAGGUUAGGCUUUAAUCUUUGUUUUUUUCCCCUGUUGAAUUUCAUUUAUGCCAUUGAUUUGAGACAACGAAUAUUCUGCUUGUUAUUAUAUAUACAUGGUUUUUUGUUGAAUUGUACUCAAUUGCAUUGCUGAAAAGUCUUGUUGGUGUUGAAAAUUCAAUUAUAGGGAGCGGGAGGCAAGACGACGUCGUCUGACGACGGGCAUUUGACGUCAGCAGCAGCUUUUGUUCAAGGGGGAAUCCAAGAUCCUUGUGAUGAUGCCUGUAGCAUUUGUCUUGAACUCUUCUGCGAUUCUGAUCCUUCAACUGUAUGUCGUCUCAAUAUUAUAAUUUGUUUGUUUUUGAGUGACAUUGAUUGAUUACCAGUUUUUUUAUCUUUAAUCUGUCGCAGUUGACUAGUUGCAAGCAUGAGUUUCAUCUUCAAUGCAUCCUUGAGUGGUAAGAGAAAAGAUAAACUCUCAUGCCUUUUGUAUCCUUGUUUCUUGUUUGUGUGAGAGCUGAUUAGAUCAUGUGGCAUUUGUGUUUCAGGUGUCAAAGGAGUUCACAGUGCCCAAUGUGUUGGCAAUCAAUUAGUCUCAAAGAUCCCACUAGGUUCCUUCUCUCUCCUUGUAAUACAUUUUAGUUCUUUUUGUUCUGCUGGAUGUUUGAGAUAUGUGUGUGUGUUUCCCUGUUUCACCAGUCAGGAGUUGCUUGAGGCUGUUGUACAGGAGAGGAGUUUCCGCUUCAAUCCACCUAGAAACGCCACCAUAUUUCGUCAUCCAACUCUUGGUGAUUUUGAGUUACAACAUGUAUGUGUCUCUUUUAUCAUAAACAUUUUAGGUUUGGGCACAAAUUUUUUUAAAAAAACGUUUGGUUUUGUAUAUUUUUAAACAAAAACAUCAUUAACUAUCAGCUUAACCACUUUUCAACCAACAAAAAAAACGACAGAAUAUAAAAGUCAUAAAACAUAAAAAUCCAAUAAAUUAUACAUUGAAAAUUGAAAACUGAAAACCUCAUGUAAUUUAAAACAAAUUUUGUUUUUCUAAAAUGUCAUUUUUUGAAAAAAGGAGGGAGUAUCUUACAUCUCUUUUGCUAGUGGAUUAACAAGAGUGAAUAUUAUUUUAAGUUUGAUUACUUCUCUUUUGCUAGUGGGUUAACUAAAGAGAGAGCUCCAUUUUGUUACAUUUUUCUUGAAAUGCAGCUCCCAGUAGGGGUGGAUAAUGCAGAGAUUGAAGAACGUAUCAUUCAGCACUUGGCUGCUGCUGCUGCUAUGGGCCGAGCAAGACAUGGUGCAAGAAGAGAAGGUCACAGAAGCAGGUCAUCAACUCAAGGUCAUCCACAGCUCAGGGUGUUCUCUCCGCAUUCCAAUGCUUCUCCACCUCAUCCUCCAAUGCCUUCCUCUCCAUCCCAAAGAGAUGAGAGUGAAACAAUCACAAACCUUCCUAUCUCUCAUCAAAAUACUUUAGGGGAGGGAUCUCUUCAUUCAAACAUGCAGCCACCAACUUCUUCUCAACCCCGCCAGGUUUCUCCUUCAAACAGCAGGUCUCCUAAUCAGCAU